Molecule: ribosomal RNA, 490 nt
Filed under: uncultured bacterium
Lineage: Bacteria
Description: partial 16S ribosomal RNA
Rfam family: Bacterial small subunit ribosomal RNA
Source: RNAcentral
AUUGAACGCUGGCGGCAGGCCUAACACAUGCAAGUCGAACGGUAACAGGAAGCAGCUUGCUGCUUCGCUGACGAGUGGCGGACGGGUGUGUAAUGUCUGUGAAGCUGCCUGAUGUAUGGGGUUAACUACUGGAAACGGUAGCUAAUACCGCAUAAUGUCUCAAGACCAAAGAGGGGGACCUUCGGGCCUCUUGCCAUCGGUUUUGCCCAGAUGGGAUUAGCUUGUUGUUUGGGUAACGGCUCACCAAGGCGACGAUCCCUAGCUGGUCUGAGAGGAUGACCAGCGACACUGGAACUGAGACACGGACCAGACUACUACGGGAGGCAGCAGUGGGGAAUAUUGCACAAUGGGCGAAAGCCUGAUGAAGCAAUGCCGCGUGUAUGAAGAAGGCCUUCGGGUUGUAAAGUACUUUCAGCGGGGAGGAAGGGAGUAAAGCUAAUACCUUGGCAGAUUGACGUUACCCGAAGAAGAAGCACCGGCUAACUACGUG